RNAcentral lists this long non-coding RNA (1585 nucleotides) under Homo sapiens (human). RNAcentral's name for it is "HSALNT0005407". Lineage: Eukaryota; Metazoa; Chordata; Mammalia; Primates; Hominidae. The record is from RNAcentral.
GCGACAGAGCGAGACUCUGUCUCAAACAAACAAACAAAAAAAGCGGGGGGGGGGGGGGGGGGGCGGGGGCGGGAAGAAAAGUCUUCCUGGUUUCAAGAAGAGGAUUUAAAUGUAGGCUUAAAGCAGGGGUUGCCCUGAGGCCCAGGAGGAGAGAGAGCUACAGGGUUCACAAACCCUGACAGACCCAGUUUCUUCCUACACUGAAAGGAAAGGGGGUUCCAGGUCUCCAGGCCUGGCCUGAGGAGGGGUCAGGUGGUAUGGAUGGAGAGGUCUGGCCAGGCAUGGUGAUGUUCAUGCCUUUAAUCCCAGCACUUAGGGAGGCAGAGGCAGGAGAAUAGCUCCAGCCCAGGAGUUUGAGACCAGCCUGAGCAACAUAGCCAGACCCCAUUCACCACAAAAAGGAAAAAAAGUUUGGACAGGGAGGUCAUAUGCACACCAGCCUUCAGCCCACGAGCCAUCCCGCGUGCAGGCAUACACAGGCACCACCAGCCACAGAAGCAUGUGCACACAGGCACCUGCUAGAUCAGAAACCAGCCUGAAGGGCCCCCAGCAACUUCCCCAAACUGGCUGCCACGCCUGCCCAGGAAGUUGCUCAGUUCCUACAUGCCACAGGGAAGGCCUGCCCACCUCCACCUCUCUUGACUCUGUCUCCUCAGGGAACAAGAGCUCCUCAUCAGCCUUUGUCAAACACUCCAUCCUCUGCUCAUAAGCAGCUGAGCAGCUGCUGCUGAGGAACCCAGUGUAACUGGGAGUAACCCGGCCUGCAGCCACCAUCCCUGGGAGCGGCUGCCUCCCAUUGGCUGGGCCUCAUGAGGCGACGUGGCAGCAGAGCCUCCCCUUCUACUGGCUGCCAGGGAGGCGGGCACAGGGCCAAGUCUCACGGGCUGGCGCCGGGGGAGCCCUGAGCAGCCUGCACAGGUUUCAGGGGGAGCAUGCUCCAGCAGCCGACCUGUCCCCACCCGGCACCAGCUGCCACAACCUGAAAAUCCGCUUGCUGCCAAGAGCUGCCUGAGCCCAGCCCAGGCUCCCACCCUGCCUCAGAGACAGGAUCCACCUGCCUACUCCUGGUGAGAGCUCUAGAGAGCUACGGGGGCCCGGCCCAGCUGGCUGCAGGCGCAGCUGUUCCACCUAUCCCAGAGCAUCCCUGACCACUAUAGGCAGCCAGAGCUUCAGGCGGACCCAGGAACUGUCCUACUCUCCAGCUUCCCGACCCAUCGCCCUCCACCCCUGAGCUCCUAGAGGACCUUGGAGACGGGAGGAAAGGCCUCCAGGUUCAGGCCUGAUCCCUCUCCGGGUGGGGCACUAGGGAGGUUGGGUUGCCCAGGGAAAGUAGAUAUUACUCAUACAUAGUAACAGCAUAAUUGCUCACCCAGCUCCUUCCAAAGAUCAGUUAAUAAAAUUAAAAGGAAAAGGCAGUCACCUCCCACGAAGGUAUCUAUUGCCUGAGAUCCUUUCCUAGGGGGCCGCCUCAUUUUAUUUGGUCCUUCAAUAAGUCCCCAGGGCUGGGGAUGUGGUCGAUGGUCUCGAUGCGCAAAGCACCGUUCCCGCGCGAACAUCCACAUUCAGACAAAUGCCUGAGGGACGC